This 404-nucleotide ribosomal RNA is filed under the name Fusobacteriota bacterium. RNAcentral describes it as "Fusobacteria bacterium partial 16S ribosomal RNA". It matches the Rfam family "Bacterial small subunit ribosomal RNA", at positions 355 to 776 of the family's 1533-position model. The record is from RNAcentral. Lineage: Bacteria; Fusobacteriati; Fusobacteriota.
UGGGGAAUAUUGCACAAUGGGGGAAACCCUGAUGCAGCGACGCCGCGUGAGCGAAGAAGGUUUUCGAAUCGUAAAGCUCUGUCCUAUGGGAAGAUAAUGACGGUACCAUAGGAGGAAGCCCCGGCUAAAUACGUGCCAGCAGCCGCGGUAAUACGUAUGGAGCGAGCGUUGUCCGGAAUUAUUGGGCGUAAAGGGUGCGCAGGCGGCUUUACAAGUUGGAUGUGAAAUAUUGUGGCUCAACCACAAACGUGCAUCCAAAACUGCAAAGCUUGAGUUAAGGAGAGGUAAGUGGAAUUCCUGGUGUAGCGGUGGAAUGCGUAGAUAUCAGGAGGAAUACCGGUGGCGAAGGCGACUUACUGGACUUAAACUGACGCUCAGGCACGAAAGCGUGGGGAGCAAACAGG